AGUGAACGCUGGCGGCGUGCUUAAUACAUGCAAGUCGAACGAGAACGGAUUAUAGCUUGCUAUAAUUGUCAGCUAAGUGGCGCACGGGUGAGUAAUGUAUAGAUAACCUGCCCUCUAGAAAGGAAUAACAGUUGGAAACGACUGCUAAUGCCCUAUAUGCCUUUAAUACAUAAGUAUGCAAGGGAAACGCUUUAGUGCUAGAGGAUGGGUCUGUAUGGUAUCAGUUAGUUGGUGAGGUAAUGGCUCACCAAGACUAUGACGCCUAACUGGUUUGAGAGGAUGAUCAGUCACACUGGAACUGAGACACGGUCCAGACUCCUACGGGAGGCGGCAGUGGGGAAUAUUGCACAAUGGACGAAAGUCUGAUGCAGCAACGCCGCGUGGAGGAUGACACAUUUCGGUGCGUAAACUCCUUUUAUAUAGGAAGAUAAUGACGGUACUAUAUGAAUGAGCACCGGCUAACUCCGUGCCAGCAGCCGCGGUAA
RNAcentral lists this ribosomal RNA (485 nucleotides) under uncultured bacterium. RNAcentral describes it as "partial 16S ribosomal RNA". It matches the Rfam family "Bacterial small subunit ribosomal RNA", at positions 29 to 523 of the family's 1533-position model. The record is from RNAcentral.